This 255-nucleotide ribosomal RNA is filed under the name uncultured archaeon. RNAcentral's name for it is "partial 16S ribosomal RNA". It matches the Rfam family "Archaeal small subunit ribosomal RNA", at positions 748 to 1002 of the family's 1478-position model. The record is from RNAcentral.
CAGCCGUAAACUAUGCGCGUUAGGUGUAUCGGUGACCACGAGUUACCGAGGUGCCGAAGGGAAACCGUGAAACGUGCCGCCUGGGAAGUACGGUCGCAAGGCUGAAACUUAAAGGAAUUGGCGGGGGAGCACAACAACGGGUGGAGCUUGCGGUUUAAUUGGAUUCAACGCCGGAAAUCUUACCGGGACCGACAGCAACAUGAAGGCCAAGCUGAAGACUUUGCCGGAUUAGCUGAGAGGAGGUGCAUGGCGUAG